GGCUUAAUACAUGCAAGUCGAGCGGUCUCCUUCGGGAGACAGCGGCGGACGGGUUAGUAACGCGUGGGAACGUGCCCUUUAGUACGGAAUAGCCAUUGGAAACGAUGAUUAAUACCGUAUACGCCCUAUGGGGGAAAGAUUUAUCGCUAAAGGAUCGGCCCGCGUUAGAUUAGGUUGUUGGUGGGGUAAUGGCCUACCAAGCCUACGAUCUAUAGCUGGUUUGAGAGGAUGAUCAGCAACACUGGGACUGAGACACGGCCCAGACUUCUACGGAAGGCAGCAGUAGGGAAUCUUGGACAAUGGGCGAAAGCCUGAUCCAGCCAUGCCGCGUGAGUGAUGAAGGCCCUAGGGUUGUAAAACUCUUUCGCCAGGGAAGAUAAUGACGGUACCUGGUAAAGAAACCCCGGCUAACUCCGUGCCAGCAGCCGCGGUAAUACGGAGGGGGUUAGCGUUGUUCGGAAUUACUGGGCGUAAAGCGCACGUAGGCGGACUAGUCAGUCAGAGGUGAAAUCCCGAGGCUCAACCUCGGAACUGCCUUUGAUACUACUGGUCUAGAGUUCGAGAGAGUGAGUGGAAUUCCGAG
This 583-nucleotide ribosomal RNA is filed under the name uncultured Alphaproteobacteria bacterium. RNAcentral describes it as "bacterial SSU rRNA". It matches the Rfam family "Bacterial small subunit ribosomal RNA", at positions 45 to 673 of the family's 1533-position model. Lineage: Bacteria; Pseudomonadati; Pseudomonadota; Alphaproteobacteria. The record is from RNAcentral.